This 253-nucleotide ribosomal RNA is filed under the name uncultured bacterium. RNAcentral describes it as "partial 16S ribosomal RNA". It matches the Rfam family "Bacterial small subunit ribosomal RNA", at positions 524 to 776 of the family's 1533-position model. The record is from RNAcentral.
UACGUAGGGUGCAAGCGUUGUCCGGAAUUAUUGGGCGUAAAGGGCUCGUAGGCGGUUUGUCGCGUCGGGAGUGAAAACACUGGGCUUAACUCAGUGCUUGCUUCCGAUACGGGCAGACUAGAGGUAUUCAGGGGAGAACGGAAUUCCUGGUGUAGCGGUGAAAUGCGCAGAUAUCAGGAGGAACACCGGUGGCGAAGGCGGUUCUCUGGGAAUGUCCUGACGCUGAGGAGCGAAAGUGUGGGGAGCGAACAGG